UGAAGUCAUUUCCUGCCUCAGUGUCAGUGAAUCGGGUACCUUCCUAGGCCUAGGCACGGUCACUGGCUCUGUCGCCAUCUACAUAGCUUUCUCUCUCCAGCGCCUGUAUUAUGUGAAGGAGGCCCAUGGCAUUGUGGUGACAGAUGUGACCUUUCUACCUGAGAAGGGUUGUGGGCCAAAGCUUCUUGGGCCCCAUGAAACUGCUCUUUUCUCUGUGGCUGUGG
Long non-coding RNA from Arvicanthis niloticus (Nile rat), 224 nucleotides. RefSeq lists it as uncharacterized. NCBI's taxonomy places the organism in Eukaryota, Metazoa, Chordata, Mammalia, Rodentia, Muridae. The record is from RefSeq and is a predicted model, not a curated record.